Molecule: small nucleolar RNA, 77 nt
Organism: Solea solea (common sole)
Lineage: Eukaryota; Metazoa; Chordata; Actinopteri; Pleuronectiformes; Soleidae
Product: small nucleolar RNA SNORD101
Exons: 1
Source: RefSeq, a predicted model, not a curated record
ACUUGAAUGAUGACUUACAAAUCUUUUGUCGGAUACCCCUUCACUCAUAAAUGAGUGAGAUCUUUGUUCUGACAUGC